RNAcentral lists this ribosomal RNA (484 nucleotides) under uncultured bacterium. RNAcentral describes it as "bacterial SSU rRNA". It matches the Rfam family "Bacterial small subunit ribosomal RNA", at positions 33 to 507 of the family's 1533-position model. The record is from RNAcentral.
GACGACGCUGGCGGCGUGGAUUAGGCAUGCAAGUCGAACGGUAUCAUCCUUCGGGGGUGAGAGAGUGGCGAACUGGUGAGUAACACGUAGGUUAUCUACCCUCAAGACGGGGACAACCCAGGGAAACUUGGGCUAAUACGGAUGUGAGCAACUUUUAGUUGUUUGAAAGGUGGCGUAAGCUGUCGCUUGGGGAUGAGCCUGCGUCCUAUUAGUUAGUUGGUGAGGUAACGGCUCACCUAGGCAAUGAUAGGUAGGCGGCCUUAACGGGUGGUCGCCCACACUGGGAUUGAGAUACGGCCCAGACUCCUACGGGAGGCAGCAGUCGAGAAUAGUCUACAAUGGUCGGAAGACUGAUAGUGCGACGCCGCGUGAACGAUGAAUCCCUUCGGGGUGUAAAGUUCUUUUAUAUGUGAGCAGUGCUUCUUAUAUUAACAGUAUGGGGAGAGAGAUAUUAGCAUAUGAAUAAGCAACGGCUAACUCCGUG